UGCAGGUCUGGAUCGAAUGUGAUAUGAAUGACUGGUUCACAUGCGGGGCUUUUGUUUCUGGAACUGGGAGAACAAGUCCAACCACACUGGCCCCCUGAGAGGGCUCAAAGUGCACAAAGAGAUGAGCAGGUGAGGCGGAUAAGAGAAGGAAAAAAGCAGGGGGUGGAGUGUGAGCAGGAAAGUACCAGGCUCUCCCAGGGGAGUCCAGACUGACUUGUAGCUGCUGCUGAGGUCAACUUAGUGGUUUCCUAUGUAAAACAGGUCUCCGGUAAGGUCCAGGCAGCUCCCUCCCAUCCACACCUACCAGCUGCCACCGCAGACUGAGAAACAGGAAGUCAUGUGGCAUGAUAAUCAGUAGAGCGAGCCAACAGUAAGAGAGAGAAAUAGAGUGAGCAUGGAAUCAGGAGCAGAGAAGUGAAGUUUCAGGUGGACAAACAGAUUUGACAGAUUUGUGAUGCUACAGGACACACAAAUUGCCUUGACGCACAAGAAGAAAGAACAUUUCAUGACCCUGCUGUUCAACGUCUUGGCUCCUCUGAAUGGCCCUGGGGUCUGUGGAGAGGAACGAGGGUCGUGGGGGGCUGGAGCCUAUCCCAGCUGACAUUGGGUGAAAGGCGGGGUACACCUUCAUCGCAGGACAGACAACCACUCACAUUUAGAGACACCUGCAUGUCUUUGGACGGCGGGAGGAAGCUAGAGCACCGGGAGAGAACCCACGCAGACACGGGGAGAACAUGUAAACUCUGCACAGAAAGGCUGGGGCAACCGGGGUUUGAACCCAGUGCUAACCACUGCACACCACGCCCUGUUAUAAAACUUUUAUGUUAUCAAUUGUCCUGUAGGACACCCACAUGUUUUGAGAGGGAAGAUGUGUUUGUUUUAUUUUGCCACCAUAUUUCAUGAUAAGAACUCACUCCUGAUGUGUCUUUGUGCCACAGUUCUAAGAGAUCGCUGAAUAGCAUGGACAUCGAUACCUUUUUUUCUUCUCUGAUAUUUAAAUGUGCGGUUGUUAGCCAAAACGCUAAUUUCCAACUUGUUACUCCUAACAAAAAAUUUGAACCGUUGUUGCUGUUGUUGGACAUGUAAAACACAUUUCAUUCUUUGAAGUGGAAGAUUUUACCGGAUGACCGCCAAUCCAGCACAAACAUGAAAUGGUUCAUGAAUUCUGGGAAAAUCAAAGUUCCUUUUUCAGCCAUGCUACCUUUAUGGAUAACAUUGCUGGUUAGUUGGUCCGUCUGCCCACCAUUAUUGCCCGACUUGCAUUGCUGUGAAAUUUUAUAAACACCUAUGUCAUGGUUCCCAAACAAUGAAUCCUAAUGACCUUGAUGAUCCGCUCACUUUUCAUCUACCGCAGUCAUCAUGGUCAUUUUGUGCAGUUCUUUGGUUUAUCCUUUGGUACAUUAAUAAAGGACAUUCCCAUCAUCCUCA
Molecule: long non-coding RNA, 1428 nt
Organism: Micropterus salmoides (largemouth bass)
Lineage: Eukaryota; Metazoa; Chordata; Actinopteri; Centrarchiformes; Centrarchidae
Exons: 4
Source: RefSeq, a predicted model, not a curated record